GCAUAUCAAUAAGCGGAGGAAAAGAAACCAACAGGGAUUGCCCUAGUAACGGCGAGUGAAGCGGCAACAGCUCAAAUUUGAAAUCUGGCUCUCUUUGGGGGUCCGAGUUGUAAUUUGCAGAGGAUGCUUUGGCAUUGGCGGCGGUCUAAGUUCCUUGGAACAGGACAUCACAGAGGGUGAGAAUCCCGUACGUGGUCGCCUGCCUUUGCCGUGUAAAGCUCCUUCGACGAGUCGAGUUGUUUGGGAAUGCAGCUCUAAAUGGGAGGUAAAUUUCUUCUAAAGCUAAAUACUGGCCAGAGACCGAUAGCGCACAAGUAGAGUGAUCGAAAGAUGAAAAGUACUUUGGAAAGAGAGUCAAAAAGCACGUGAAAUUGUUGAAAGGGAAGCGCUUGCAGCCAGACUUGCCCGCAGUUGCUCACCUAGGCUUUGGCCUGGGGCACUCUUCUGCGGGCAGGCCAGCAUCAGUUUGGGCGGUUGGAUAAAGGCCUCUGUCACGUAUCUCCCUUCGGGGUGACCUUAUAGGGGAGGCGCAAUGCAACCAGCCCGGACUGAGGUCCGCGCAUCUGCUAGGAUGCUGGCGUAAUGGCUGUAAGCGGCCCGUCUUGAAACACGGACCAAGGAGUCUAACAUCUAUGCGAGUGUUUGGGUGUCAAGCCCGAGCGCGCAAUGAAAGUGAACGGAGGUGGGAACCCUUUGGGUGCACCAUCGACCGAUCCUGAUGUCUUCGGAUGGAUUUGAGUAAGAGCAUAGCUGUUGGGACCCGAAAGAUGGUGAACUAUGCUUGAAUAGGGUGAAGCCAGAGGAAACUCUGGUGGAGGCUCGCAGCGGUUCUGACGUGCAAAUCGAUCGUCAAAUUUGGGCAUAGGGGCGAAA
This 873-nucleotide ribosomal RNA is filed under the name Paraphaeosphaeria sporulosa. Its description in RNAcentral is "eukaryotic LSU rRNA". It matches the Rfam family "Eukaryotic large subunit ribosomal RNA", at positions 38 to 928 of the family's 3401-position model. Lineage: Eukaryota; Fungi; Ascomycota; Dothideomycetes; Pleosporales; Didymosphaeriaceae. The record is from RNAcentral.